RNAcentral lists this ribosomal RNA (253 nucleotides) under uncultured bacterium. RNAcentral's name for it is "partial 16S ribosomal RNA". It matches the Rfam family "Bacterial small subunit ribosomal RNA", at positions 524 to 776 of the family's 1533-position model. The record is from RNAcentral.
UACGGAGGGAGCGAGCGUUGUUCGGAAUUACUGGGCGUAAAGGGUGCGCAGGCGGCCUGAUAAGUCAGAAGUGAAAGCCCUGGGCUCAACCCAGGAAUUGCUUUUGAAACUGUCAGGCUAGAGUAUUGGAGAGGUUAGCGGAAUUCCCAGUGUAGAGGUGAAAUUCGUAGAUAUUGGGAGGAACACCAGUGGCGUAAGCGGCUAACUAGACAAUUACUGACGCUCAGGCACGAAAGCGUGGGGAUCAAACAGG